RNAcentral lists this ribosomal RNA (494 nucleotides) under uncultured bacterium. RNAcentral describes it as "partial 16S ribosomal RNA". It matches the Rfam family "Bacterial small subunit ribosomal RNA", at positions 29 to 523 of the family's 1533-position model. The record is from RNAcentral.
AAUGAACGCUGGCGGCGUGCCUAACACAUGCAAGUCGAACGAGAAAGCCCGCUAGGGUGAGUACAGUGGCGCACGGGUGAGUAAUACAUAGGAAUCUGCCUCUGAGUGAAGAAUACCCUAGAGAAAUUUAGGUUAAUACUGCAUAAGCCCAGAAAUGGGGAAAGGUGGCCUCAAGCUACCGCUGAGAGAUGAGCCUAUGGCCUAUUAGCUAGUUGGUAGGGUAAAAGCCUACCAAGGCGAGGAUGGGUAGCCGGCCUGAGAGGUUGUACGGCCAGACUGGAACUGAGACACGGUCCAGACUCCUACGGGAGGCAGCAGUGGGGAAUUUUGGACAAUGGGCGAAAGCCUGAUCCAGCAAUGCCGCGUGCAGGAUGAAGGCCUUCGGGUUGUAAACUGCUUUUGUACGGAACGAAAAAGCUCCUUCUAAUACAGGGGGCCCAUGACGGUACCGUAAGAAUAAGCACCGGCUAACUACGUGCCAGCCGCCGCAGUAA